UACGAACUGUGCGAACGUUAUUCGGAAUCACUGGGCUUACAGGGUGCGUAGGCGGCCUGACAAGUAGGGUGUGAAAGCCCCCGGCUUAACCGGGGAAUGGCGCCCUAAACUGUCGGGCUGGAGUGAGAUAGGGGUGUGCGGAACUUCCGGUGGAGCGGUGAAAUGUGUUGAUAUCGGAAGGAACGCCGGUGGCGAAAGCGGAACACUGGAUCUCAACUGACGCUGAGGCACGAAAGCCAGGGGAGCGAACGGG
Molecule: ribosomal RNA, 253 nt
Filed under: uncultured bacterium
Lineage: Bacteria
Description: partial 16S ribosomal RNA
Rfam family: Bacterial small subunit ribosomal RNA
Source: RNAcentral